Molecule: ribosomal RNA, 1256 nt
Filed under: Bacillus subtilis
Lineage: Bacteria; Bacillati; Bacillota; Bacilli; Caryophanales; Bacillaceae
Description: bacterial SSU rRNA
Rfam family: Bacterial small subunit ribosomal RNA
Source: RNAcentral
CGGGUUGGCUACUGUUAUACAUGCAGUCGAGCGGACAGAUGGGAGCUUGCUCCCUGAUGUUAGCGGCGGACGGGUGAGUAACACGUGGGUAACCUGCCUGUAAGACUGGGAUAACUCCGGGAAACCGGGGCUAAUACCGGAUGGUUGUCUGAACCGCAUGGUUCAGACAUAAAAGGUGGCUUCGGCUACCACUUACAGAUGGACCCGCGGCGCAUUAGCUAGUUGGUGAGGUAACGGCUCACCAAGGCGACGAUGCGUAGCCGACCUGAGAGGGUGAUCGGCCACACUGGGACUGAGACACGGCCCAGACUCCUACGGGAGGCAGCAGUAGGGAAUCUUCCGCAAUGGACGAAAGUCUGACGGAGCAACGCCGCGUGAGUGAUGAAGGUUUUCGGAUCGUAAAGCUCUGUUGUUAGGGAAGAACAAGUGCCGUUCAAAUAGGGCGGCACCUUGACGGUACCUAACCAGAAAGCCACGGCUAACUACGUGCCAGCAGCCGCGGUAAUACGUAGGUGGCAAGCGUUGUCCGGAAUUAUUGGGCGUAAAGGGCUCGCAGGCGGUUUCUUAAGUCUGAUGUGAAAGCCCCCGGCUCAACCGGGGAGGGUCAUUGGAAACUGGGGAACUUGAGUGCAGAAGAGGAGAGUGGAAUUCCACGUGUAGCGGUGAAAUGCGUAGAGAUGUGGAGGAACACCAGUGGCGAAGGCGACUCUCUGGUCUGUAACUGACGCUGAGGAGCGAAAGCGUGGGGAGCGAACAGGAUUAGAUACCCUGGUAGUCCACGCCGUAAACGAUGAGUGCUAAGUGUUAGGGGGUUUCCGCCCCUUAGUGCUGCAGCUAACGCAUUAAGCACUCCGCCUGGGGAGUACGGUCGCAAGACUGAAACUCAAAGGAAUUGACGGGGGCCCGCACAAGCGGUGGAGCAUGUGGUUUAAUUCGAAGCAACGCGAAGAACCUUACCAGGUCUUGACAUCCUCUGACAAUCCUAGAGAUAGGACGUCCCCUUCGGGGGCAAAAUGACAGGUGGUGCAGGGUGUCGUCACCUCCUGUCCUGAGAUGUUGGGGUUAAGUCCCGCACGAGCGCAACCCUUGAUCUUAGUUGCCCGCAUUCAUUUGGGCACUCUAAGGUGACUGCCGUGACAACCGAGAAAGGGGGGGGGGGAAGGCCAAACCUCCUGGCCCCUUUAAACGGGGGGAACCCCUGGUUCAAUGGGAGAAAAAAAGGGGGGGAAACGCCGGGGUUAGCCAUCCCCCAAAUU